AAUCACUUAAUUUUGUCUUCAAACUGAAAACAGUAUUUUUUUCAAUACUCUCUCAGUACAAUAAUUUUACUUGAAACAACUGUAAACAGUUGUAAAUUCAGA
This is a non-coding RNA of Chelonoidis abingdonii (Abingdon island giant tortoise), 102 nucleotides long. Lineage: Eukaryota; Metazoa; Chordata; Testudines; Testudinidae. The record is from RefSeq and is a predicted model, not a curated record.